GUCACCGAUUGAAACACUAUUUAGCACGAACACCGCUAACUAGCUAGCCAUUUCACAUCUGUUACAUCAGCAUCUGUCCAGCAAAAUGACCCAGGAUCUGCCCAGCAAAAUCACCCAUUAAUUAGCCUUCAGCAUGAUAUAUCAACUGGCCAGCAACAGGAAACAUAAUUCAGCCCGAAUCUGGCCAUCUGGGCUUUUAGACUUCCAGAAUUUCCAGACGUAUUAAAAGAAAAACCUGAAAGAAAAUGUGACGAUCUCCGUUGCCCUGCGGUUCUCUCGAAGUGGAGGUCUCAGAUUGGGCAGGUGUUGUUUGCCUUCAUGUGUACCUAUACUUGGAGUCAUGGAACGGCAUGAUAAAGAAUAAAUACAAGUACAGGAAAUGCAGAAGAAGUUUAGGGGGCAAGGGAAAAAAUAAACCCAGAUGACAUCAAAAAUGAAGACCUGACCAAAAUAGCCAAGAUUGAGAUUGGUGAGAAUUCCUUCAGUCAAGAGUUACAUGUUGAACAGAUGCAGGUGGAAUGCCAAGAAAAGAGACCGAACAUCAGUUCCCUACAAGACAAAACGAAAAGGACUGAAAAAUAACGUUUUUAUGAAACAAGGCACCAAGGACAUCUUAAAACUGUACCCAGCACUCCAUUUGUCAGCCAUUGUCUGAAGGUCACUGCAGCCAUUUUAUUAUUCACCCUAUUACACAGGUCUGAAGGUCACUGCAGCCAUUUUAUUACACACCCUAUUACACAGGUCUGAAGGUCACUGCAGCCAUUUUAUUACACACCCUAUUACACAGGUCUGAAGGUCACUGCAGCCAUUUUAUUACUCACCCUAUUACACAGGUCUGAAGGUCACUGCAGCCAUUUUAUUACACACCCUAUUACACAGGUCUGAAGGUCACUGCAGCCAUUUUAUUACUCACCCUAUUACACAGGUCUGAAGGUCACUGCAGCCAUUUUAUUACUCACCCUAUUACACAGGCCUGAAGGUCACUGCAGCCAUUUUAUUACUCACCCUAUUACACAGGUCUGAAGGUCACUGCAGCCAUUUUAUUACACACCCUAUUACACAGGCCUGAAGGUCACUGCAGCCAUUUUAUUACUCACCCUAUUACACAGGUCUGAAGGUCACUGCAGCCAUUUUAUUACUCACCCUAUUACACAGGUCUGAAGGUCACUGCAGCCAUUUUAUUACUCACCCUAUUACACAGGUCUGAAGGUCACUGAAGCCAUUUUAUUACUCACCCUAUUACACAGGUCUGAAGGUCACUGCAGCCAUUUUAUUACUCACCCUAUUACACAGGUCUGAAGGUCACUGCAGCCAUUUUAUUAC
Oncorhynchus tshawytscha (Chinook salmon) is the source of this 1323-nucleotide long non-coding RNA. RefSeq lists it as uncharacterized. NCBI's taxonomy places the organism in Eukaryota, Metazoa, Chordata, Actinopteri, Salmoniformes, Salmonidae. The record is from RefSeq and is a predicted model, not a curated record. The transcript is spliced from 4 exons.